AAGCAACGCGAAGAACCUUACCAGGUCUUGACAUCCUCUGACAACUCUAGAGAUAGAGCGUUCCCCUUCGGGGGACAGAGUGACAGGUGGUGCAUGGUUGUCGUCAGCUCGUGUCGUGAGAUGUUGGGUUAAGUCCCGCAACGAGCGCAACCCUUGAUCUUAGUUGCCAGCAUUCAGUUGGGCACUCUAAGGUGACUGCCGGUGACGAACCGGAGGAAGGUGGGGAUGACGUCAAAUCAUCAUGCCCCUUAUGACCUGGGCUACACACGUGCUACAAUGGACGGUACAAAGAGUCGCGAGACCGCGAGGUGGAGCUAAUCUCAUAAAACCGUUCUCAGUUCGGAUUGUAGGCUGCAACUCGCCUACAUGAAGCCGGAAUCGCUAGUAAUCGCGGAUCAGCAUGCCGCGGUGAAUACGUUCCCGGGCCUUGUACACACCGCCCGUCACACCACGAGAGUUUGCAACACCCGAAGUCGGUGAGGUAACCGUAAGGAGCCAGCCGCCUAAGGUGG
This 512-nucleotide ribosomal RNA is filed under the name uncultured bacterium. RNAcentral's name for it is "bacterial SSU rRNA". It matches the Rfam family "Bacterial small subunit ribosomal RNA", at positions 954 to 1465 of the family's 1533-position model. The record is from RNAcentral.